UACGAAGGGUGCAAGCGUUACUCGGAAUUACUGGGCGUAAAGCGUGCGUAGGUGGUGAGUUAAGUCUGUCGUGAAAGCCCCGGGCUCAACCUGGGAAUGGCGAUGGAUACUGGCUCGCUAGAGUGCGGUAGAGGAGAGUGGAAUUCCCGGUGUAGCAGUGAAAUGCGUAGAGAUCGGGAGGAACAUCAGUUGCGAAGGCGGCUCUCUGGACCAGCACUGACACUCAGGCACGAAAGCGUGGGGAGCAAACAGG
RNAcentral lists this ribosomal RNA (253 nucleotides) under uncultured bacterium. Its description in RNAcentral is "partial 16S ribosomal RNA". It matches the Rfam family "Bacterial small subunit ribosomal RNA", at positions 524 to 776 of the family's 1533-position model. The record is from RNAcentral.